Molecule: long non-coding RNA, 1140 nt
Filed under: Phasianus colchicus (ring-necked pheasant)
Lineage: Eukaryota; Metazoa; Chordata; Aves; Galliformes; Phasianidae
Description: lncRNA (ENSPCLG00000002233.1)
Source: RNAcentral
CCAUGCCCCUUCCCCGCCGCGGGAGGGCAUUACGCAAGGCGCUGCCCUCAUCUGCAUACGGUCGCCGGGUAUUCCCCGCGCCGCUCGCGGCGUGACGCCCGCGCCCCCCGGCCGCCCCGCCGCACCGAGGCGGCACCCCGCCGGCCCCGGCCCCGCCGCCGAGCCCCGGCCCCGCGCCGCCCCCGCUGUCAGCCGGGCUGGGGGCGGCUGCGGCAGCGCUGCCGCUCACCUGGCGAGUGGCCGCGGAGAGCCCUCCCGGUGCCCUUUCGCUGCCGCCGCUCCCGCCGGGCGCUCUCGUCGCUCCGCGCCGGAGUGAGGUGGCCGGCGGCGUUGCUUUAUAUAAAGACAGACAGCGGUAUUCCAGCAGCCAAAGGGGCGUCUGUUUCACGUAUUUAUCUUAAGGUAGAUCAUCGCUCUCCCUCCGCUCGGCAGAGACCGGCAUCGGCGAGGCGGCGGGCGGGCGGAAGGGAGAGAGAGAGAGGGAGGGAGCCGCGCUCCGCAGUCGCUCGGCCGGGCUAUUCCUGGCAGCGCUUCCCAGCGCACAAGUUGCAGGGCGGCGAGCGCGGGGAGCGCGCCGCGCGUGACGUCACCGGGUCCCCCCGCGCGCCGGCGGGGAGCGAGCGGGGCGCGAGCGGCAGCGCCCGGCCGCGGGGUGAUGGGCGCCGCCCGCGCGCGUGUGCGUGUGUGUGUGCGCGAGGCGGCGGGAGGCGGCGCGGGGAGAGGGAGAGGUGCGCCGGGAGGGCGUGGGGGGGGCGAGGGGCCGGGCCUGGGCCGCUCCCCGCCGGAGGAGAGCGCCGCUCCCCCGCCCCCUCCCCGCGGAGGGAACUCCCAGGAGAGCCGGUCCCGGCUUGCCAUGCACGGGGACCGCGCGUCCUCCGGCCUGAGAAUUUCCUCGGAGGACGUGGGAGUCUCCUUCCCCCGCUCUCCUCCCUCCCUGCGCGCCGCCCCCCGGGCUCUCGCCUGCUCGGGAUCGCGUUAUCUGUCGGGAAGCGGAACGCAGCGCCGGGGCCGACGCCGCCCCGGCGGCCGACCCUCGCUCGCCCCCGUUGCCGCGGCCCGAGAGCCCCGGGCCCUUUCCUAACUGCCACCGCCCAUCGGCAGCCCUCGCGGUACCGGGGGCCGCCGCCUCAGCCCGGCUGA